GAUGAACGCUGGCGGCGUGCCUAACACAUGCAAGUCGAACGGAGUCCAGCCUUUAAGACCUUCGGGUCAAAGAGGGGAAGACUGAGUGGCGGACGGGUGAGUAACACGUGGGCAACCUGGCUCAUAGAGGGGGAUAACAGAGAGAAAUUUCUGCUAAUACCGCAUAAGCACACACUGCCGCAUGGCAGAGGGUGAAAAGAGAAUCGCUAUGAGAUGGACCCGCGUCUGAUUAGCCAGUUGGCAGGGUAAGAGCCUACCAAAGCGACGAUCAGUAGCCGAUCUGGGAGGAUGAACGGCCACAUUGGGACUGCGACCCGGCCCACACUCCUACGGGAGGCAGCAGUGGGGGAUAUUGCACAAUGGGGGGAACCCUGAUGCAGCGACGCCGCGUGAGUGAAGAAGUAUUUCGGUAUGUAAAGCUCUAUCAGCAGGGAAGAUAAUGACAGUACCUGAAUAAGAAGCCCCGGCUAACUACGUG
RNAcentral lists this ribosomal RNA (478 nucleotides) under uncultured bacterium. Its description in RNAcentral is "partial 16S ribosomal RNA". It matches the Rfam family "Bacterial small subunit ribosomal RNA", at positions 28 to 507 of the family's 1533-position model. The record is from RNAcentral.